CCUUAGCUCAGUUGGUUAGAGCAGUGGACUCAUAAUCCAUUGGUCGUAGGUUCAAGUCCUACAGGGCC
RNAcentral lists this transfer RNA (68 nucleotides) under marine eukaryotic metagenome. It matches the Rfam family "tRNA", at positions 5 to 66 of the family's 71-position model. From Rfam's summary of the family: Transfer RNA (tRNA) molecules are approximately 80 nucleotides in length. Their secondary structure includes four short double-helical elements and three loops (D, anti-codon, and T loops). Further hydrogen bonds mediate the characteristic L-shaped molecular structure. tRNAs have two regions of fundamental functional importance: the anti-codon, which is responsible for specific mRNA codon recognition, and the 3' end, to which the tRNAs corresponding amino acid is attached (by aminoacyl-tRNA synthetases). tRNAs cope with the degeneracy of the genetic code in two manners: having more than one tRNA (with a specific anti-codon) for a particular amino acid; and 'wobble' base-pairing, i.e. permitting non-standard base-pairing at the 3rd anti-codon position. The record is from RNAcentral.